UUCCGGUUGAUCCUGCCGGACCCGACUGCUAUUGGGGUGAGGCUAAGCCAUGCGAGUCAGCGCUUCUAACCACGAUGAGGCGCGGCAUACGGCUCAGUAACAUGUGGUCAAUCUACCCUCAGGACGGGGACACCCUCGGGAAACUGAGGCUGAUCCCAGAUAGAUAAUGGAUCCUGGAAUGGUUCUUUAUCCAAACGAUACGGGGCUCAUGUGUUUCGUGUCGCCUGAGGAUGAGACCGCACCCUAUCAGGUAGUUGGUGGGGUAACGGCCCACCAAGCCUAUAACGGGUACGGGCCCUGAGAGGGGGAGCCCGGAGAUGGGUACUGAGACAAGGACCCAGGCCCUACGGGGCGCAGCAGGCGCGAGACCUCUGCAAUGCGCGAAAGCGCGACAGGGCCACCCCGAGUGCUAGACGCUGAGUCUAGCUUUUCCUUAGUGUAGUAAGCUAGGGGAAUAAGCGGGGGGCAAGCCUGGUGUCAGCCGCCGCGGUAAUACCAGCUCCGCGAGUGGUCGGGACGAUUAUUGGGCCUAAAGCGUCCGUAGCCGGCCUAGCAAGUCUCUGGUUAAACUUCAAGGCUUAACCUUGAGAUUGCUGGAGAUACUGCUAGGCUAGGGGGCGGGAGAGGUUGAGGGUACUUCACGGGUAGGGGCGAAAUCCUAUAAUCCGUGAAGGACCACCAGUGGCGAAGGCGCUCAACUGGAACGCGCCCGACGGUGAGGGACGAAAGCCAGGGGAGCAAAGGGGAUUAGAUACCCCCGUAGUCCUGGCUGUAAACGAUGCGGGCUAGGUGUUGGGUUGGCCUUUCGUGCCAACCCGGUGCCGCAGUGAAGGCGAUAAGCCCGCCGCCUGGGAAGUACGGCUGCAAGGCUGAAACUUAAAGGAAUUGGCGGGGGAGCACCACAAGGGGUGAAGCCUGCGGCUUAAUUGGAGUCAACGCCGGAA
Molecule: ribosomal RNA, 944 nt
Filed under: uncultured crenarchaeote
Lineage: Archaea; Thermoproteati; Thermoproteota
Description: bacterial SSU rRNA
Rfam family: Archaeal small subunit ribosomal RNA
Source: RNAcentral